GCGGGUGUAGUUCAAUGGUAGAACACCAGUCUUCCAAGCUGGAUACCCGGGUUCGAUUCCCGGUACCCGCUCCA
RNAcentral lists this transfer RNA (74 nucleotides) under Clostridium perfringens. Its description in RNAcentral is "tRNA-Gly". It matches the Rfam family "tRNA". From Rfam's summary of the family: Transfer RNA (tRNA) molecules are approximately 80 nucleotides in length. Their secondary structure includes four short double-helical elements and three loops (D, anti-codon, and T loops). Further hydrogen bonds mediate the characteristic L-shaped molecular structure. tRNAs have two regions of fundamental functional importance: the anti-codon, which is responsible for specific mRNA codon recognition, and the 3' end, to which the tRNAs corresponding amino acid is attached (by aminoacyl-tRNA synthetases). tRNAs cope with the degeneracy of the genetic code in two manners: having more than one tRNA (with a specific anti-codon) for a particular amino acid; and 'wobble' base-pairing, i.e. permitting non-standard base-pairing at the 3rd anti-codon position. The record is from RNAcentral. Lineage: Bacteria; Bacillati; Bacillota; Clostridia; Eubacteriales; Clostridiaceae.